CAGGGUAUAAAUAUAAACCCUAGGACCUUGUAAUAAGAUAUCAAGAAAUCAAUCAAACACACGUUUUACUCAUAUUCCAGCAUCUACUUUUUCGACGACUUCGUCAUAUUUUUUUUCUUUUUAUUACGAGUUCUUAGGAAUUCGUCGACUUAAGCUCGGCGUAUUCUCAAGUUCCGCGUGAGUACCUCUUAGCCGUGACAUCCGGGCGCAUCGCUGUUGUCAGGACUAAAGUAUUCGAGUUAUCACCUUUGCCGAUAGCAAGGUCAAAUCGGCUGGCACGCCUUAACGUUUGAAUCGGGUAUUAGCCCUUUGUGUUUGCAGAUCAGUUUUGCAUCAACAGUUACAUUGUUGGAAUUAAAUUUAUCUUGUUCUUGGCAGAUGAAGUCCAACUGUACUACUUGACAUGGUUUGG
Molecule: long non-coding RNA, 412 nt
Filed under: Sorghum bicolor (sorghum)
Lineage: Eukaryota; Viridiplantae; Streptophyta; Magnoliopsida; Poales; Poaceae
Description: long non-coding RNA (SBIC_LNC003890)
Source: RNAcentral